CUGUGUGUGUGGCACUCGUCGCCUUUGUGGGAAAUCCGUGUGGCACUUGUUUGGUGUUGUUGGCAGACUUCGGUCUUGCCUUCACACACGUUUCACAUGUGUCAUGCCUUCCCUCAACUCACGGCAUCCAGGAAUGAAGGAGGGUAGUUCGGGGGAGAACGUACUGGUGCGUCAGAGGUGAAAUUCUUAGACCGCACCAAGACGAACUACAGCGAAAGCAUUCUUCAAGGAUACCUUCCUCAAUCAAGAACCAAAGUGUGGGGAUCGAAGAUGAUUAGAGACCAUUGUAGUCCACACUGCAAACGAUGACACCCAUGAAUUGGGGAGUUUUUGGUCGUAGGCGUGGUCGGGCUUGAUUA
RNAcentral lists this ribosomal RNA (359 nucleotides) under Trypanosoma cruzi. RNAcentral's name for it is "SSU rRNA". It matches the Rfam family "Eukaryotic small subunit ribosomal RNA", at positions 718 to 1092 of the family's 1831-position model. Lineage: Eukaryota; Euglenozoa; Kinetoplastea; Trypanosomatida; Trypanosomatidae. The record is from RNAcentral.